CUCCACCCAAUACGGCGUCCCCGCGCUGGUGCUGGAUCUUGUAGCGGUGCGCGCGCCCAAAAACGACGGGGUAGGCUCCCAUUUCCGUUCGUGUCGUGCGGUCCACAUGCACAAGGAUGCUCAGCCUCGUCCACAGCCGACGGCUUCUGCCGCAGCGCGACCCGUUCAAAAUUCUGGGUCUCACCCGUAGUGCAACCAAAGCAGAGGUGAAGAUGAAGUACCGAGAGCUUGCUCGCAUCUACCACCCCGAUGCGGGGUCCGGUGACAGUGCCAAGAUGGAGGAGGUGAAUCACGCGUACAAGCUACUAUUAAAGGAGGGUGGAUACGAGCGUCUGCAUCUGCCGGGCUCAAGCAGGGCGCGACCGCAUGGCGCGAAGGGUCCUGUCGGGGUGACCUCGGAGAGUCGACGCGAGCUACCGCGCGAAAAGGCGACGGCGCCCUUUACUGUCGAUCAGCAGAGCAGCGGCACUGCGGGGGCAUCGUCCGGUGCGUCUGCCGGCACCGCGUCGUCACUGCUGACGGACGAGGAGGCCGAGAAGGUGAGUGCGCUGGAUCCGGCCACGGAGCGUCGCACGCCGGAAGGGAAGUACUUGUAUCAGAGCCGCGACGAUCAAAGCUGGGUCGAGCUCGAUCGCCCACUCCUGCGCGCGCAGCAGCCGCACUACGCGUCAUUCUCCGCGCAGGCGGACAUGAAAGCCGAGCUGCGACGCCGCGCCGUGCUGAAGGAAAAAGAGCAAAACGAAAAGAGCCGCUUUCAGAGGACUGCGGACCGCCUCGCGGACAGCGCUGAGUUGCCGACGCAAAAUCCGCACUUGCUGCGUAUCUACGCGUUAGUUGUCGUGUGCGUCUUCUACCUCAUGUACAAGCGCACGUUUGAGCGCACCCAUCACCAGAGGAAGCGCGCGAAGUUCUACCAGGCGCUGGAAGAGAAUCGAGAGGAGUUGAUGGCGACGUAUGAGAAGCAUAAGGAGGGCCUGCAGGUGACAGCGGUGGCUGCGGCGCUGGUCUUCCUUGCCGCCGCGGAACACAAGACGGCCGACGACCCCGUUGUGCCGAGUCCGCCAGAGGUCUUUUACCGCUCUGUGAAACCGCCGAGCGACCACUACACUGUCGUCGCUGGCGGUUAAACAUCACACACAAGGCUGACAAAUCGCUGAAGAGUAGCUGCUGAGGCUGCUGCGGUGUGGGCCUGAGACGAGGAAGGCAGGCGAUCGGCGUGUCUGGGCCGUGUUGCGUCGCUACCUGUUGGGCUGUGGGGGCUCGUUGUGCGCCUGACCUUUUUUUUUUCUUCUCGAUGCUGUCGGUGGUGCUUGCCGACGAUCUGCUCAAAGAGAGACACUCAUGCACACCACGACAGAGAAGCGGUGUUGCCGGUGGAGCGGUACAGUUUUUUUUUUUUUUUCGCUUUGCACGGAUGCGUAAGCGAAAAAAGCAUACUACCAGGCAAAACCACCCUCGAGCAUGAAGGCCGAGACCGUGGCUCCAUGCACCUCGGGGGUGACGUGGGGAGGGGGGGGGCUGCAUUUGGAAUGAAGCGCAGAUGCUCAUCGUAUUGGGUGUGGCACUGUCUACUCUGGGGAAGUGUACAACUCUCUCUAUCUGUGCGUCUCUGCAAGUGAAACGAACACCGGCUUCCGUGAAAAGCUUUUAGAGCGGGGUGGGGAGCGCAACUAGCUUCGUGUGGCAUACUCUUGAACACUAGAGGGAGGAUGGGGCAGAGGAAUCCACCUCUGCCACUCAGUUGGCGUUGCCCACCGCUGGCUCCUGCGCCGCCUACUUUGGCUAUACCCGCACACCCACCCUUCAAGCAGAGCGCAGAUUCCGGUAUUCAUUGUCGCGGGCUUUCUGCUUACAUCCAUCUUCCUCGCUCUUCUGCCUCUCCUCCCUUGCUGCCUCGUCGGCCACGCAUGUGCAUCGUGCGCGCAUGCCGAUCGCGUCUUUUUCAUGGUUUCUUCUUUGUUUGCUUCCUCCUGCCUCCGCUCUUCGAACGCGUCCGCUGGUAUGACACUGUGCGUGUGGCCUUUUGCAUCGAUCUCGCCAG
This 2041-nucleotide unclassified non-coding RNA is filed under the name Leishmania donovani. RNAcentral's name for it is "gene:LdHU3.30.3320(CDS-product:DnaJ_domain_protei n-like_protein)". The record is from RNAcentral. Lineage: Eukaryota; Euglenozoa; Kinetoplastea; Trypanosomatida; Trypanosomatidae.